CAAUUACUUUUUCGUCUACCAAAGCGACCUGAUACAUUUUGAAAAUUGCUACGUUAUUUGUUAUUUUUUUGCCGCUGUGUGCGUACUCGAGUAGCUUCUUUGCCAGUUGAUGGACCUCUGAACUUCCAAGGAGUAAUUCAGCUAGUUUCUUCGUUUUGUUAAGCUUAUAACGAGCUGGUACUUUGUCGAAAUUUGGCUCUUGUUUAAUUUCCAAUAAUUUAUCGUCCGAGUUAAUCAGUGUUAAGUUGAAGUCCUCCGAUCCAAGUACAUUAUCGUCAAAACCAAUGUUUGUGCAAAUAAUGCAAUCCUGGACGUUCUGUUCUUCAGAUUCAUUGGCAAUUUCGUUGCGGUAGGAACGGAAAUAUUUUUGCAAACUAAAAUCGCCGUUGGUUUCGUUGAGUAGAUCACUGGCUUUGAUUCUUAUUUGAUCGUCGUGCUUGUGUUUGGCUUGUAAGUAUCGAUAGCGAUAUUCACCUCGAAGAGCGUCUUGAUAAUGGAAAACGAGAUCAUCGAAUUUGCCGCCCUGUCCGGGCAUUUCUGUGCUCAAUUGGAAUUUGUACUUCGAGGUGAUCCCUCUAACUAAAAAUAACAUCAGCAACUUGAGUUGAAAGAUAUCACCGUGCAUUGAGCCUCUUAUGCCAGUUCCUGAUGGGUUUUCGGAUAUAGCUGGGAGUGUUGCAUCAUUUGCGGAGCUGUUGCUCGGAAUUUGACGUGGUUUCUUUCUAGCAGUUGGUGCUUCAUUCGCAGCUUCAGCCGAGACGAUGGAGAAUGCGAAGAGACUGGAGUUUUUUAAAAUAUCUAAAUUCAACGUGAUAAGAUUUCAUAUCUGAUUUCAGCGACAUGAUAAGAUUACCGACGACAAAGGCAGGGUAAAAGAGAAUGCAGCGUUUGUCUGGUCCAUAUUGGCAUAUCGUUGCGGUUUUCUCAGUUUCAUUACCGGUAUAGGCAUCAAUUGCAUAAAAAGAAAGCAUGGGAAAUCCUCGAGGCAGUGCAUUCAAGUGGGGAGCAGCCUGUAUACUAAAUGGAC
This is a long non-coding RNA of Daphnia pulicaria, 1027 nucleotides long. RefSeq lists it as uncharacterized. The record is from RefSeq and is a predicted model, not a curated record. The transcript has 4 exons. NCBI's taxonomy places the organism in Eukaryota, Metazoa, Arthropoda, Branchiopoda, Diplostraca, Daphniidae.